Molecule: unclassified non-coding RNA, 240 nt
Filed under: soil metagenome
Description: partial contains 5.8S ribosomal RNA, internal transcribed spacer 2, and large subunit ribosomal RNA
Source: RNAcentral
AACGAGGCCGACCUGCGGCUGAGUUACCUGCGGAAGGAUCAUUAAAAAAAGUUUUUGCCUGCGGACCUUGUCCAAGGCGCAAAAAACCCACACCGUGUGCACCGUUAUCGUUUCUUUGGCAGGGGUUUGAGACGAUUGGUUUUUUUUCCUUUCUCUCAACUUCUCCUCUGGCUCUAUCCUUCGUCGGACAGCCGGACAUGGGAAGUAGUUUUUUAAACUACCCCUGCCAAGUAACCCUCA